CAAUAGCGUAUAUUAAAGUUGUUGCAGUUAAAAAGCUCGUAGUUGGAUUUCUGAUCGAGACAUCAGGUCGGGUCCGAGAGGAUCGUGUACUUUGAUUUUGUUUUGAUCAUCCUUGGGGAGAGCAUUUCUGGCAUUCAGUUGUCGGGAUUGGGAUCCUCAUCGUUUACUGUGAAAAAAUUAGAGUGUUCAAAGCAGGCCUCGGCCUCUGAAUACAUUAGCAUGGAAUAAUAAGAUAGGGCUUUGGUGGUCUAUUUUGUUGGUUUGCACGCCAAAGUAAUGAUUAAUAGGGAUAGUUGGGGGUAUUCGUAUUCAAUUGUCAGAGGUGAAAUUCUUGGAUUUAUGGAAGACGAACUACUGCGAAAGCAUUUACCAAGGAUGUUUUCAUUAA
This 388-nucleotide ribosomal RNA is filed under the name uncultured eukaryote. Its description in RNAcentral is "partial 18S ribosomal RNA". It matches the Rfam family "Eukaryotic small subunit ribosomal RNA", at positions 592 to 976 of the family's 1831-position model. The record is from RNAcentral.